GAUGAAACAUGGCUCUUAAAUUCUUAGUUGUAAUAAUAAUUAUCCGAAUUUUUGUGUAGUAUUCUAGGAGUUGAAUAAUAAUUAUAGUACCAUGUGGGUUGACUUUAUGUGAGGCAUGGUUUAUGGGAUAAAGAACUGUCUGGUAUAUAAAAGAUGCGCACACGGUCCAAAGUAAUGCAAUGUUAAGAUGAAUUGUUUUUUUCUCCGAAAAUGUAUUUUAGUGGAUCCGGAUUUAUCACUAUAUUCUGAAAUCAAUGUUGUGUAGUCUGAGCAUGGGCCGAUAUUUAUUAUACACUACUUGCCAAGAAUUACGUAUCAUCAACUUGGGAAUCCACUGUAUGUACCGUAUGAUAACUUGUUAA
This 362-nucleotide long non-coding RNA is filed under the name Helianthus annuus (common sunflower). RNAcentral describes it as "sRNA HanXRQr2_Chr16g0750151". Lineage: Eukaryota; Viridiplantae; Streptophyta; Magnoliopsida; Asterales; Asteraceae. The record is from RNAcentral.